Cicer arietinum (chickpea) is the source of this 845-nucleotide long non-coding RNA. RefSeq lists it as uncharacterized. The record is from RefSeq and is a predicted model, not a curated record. Lineage: Eukaryota; Viridiplantae; Streptophyta; Magnoliopsida; Fabales; Fabaceae.
UCAAAGACAACGGUUCUUAAUUUUAUUGUAGUAGAAAGCAAGGAGAACGGUUUUCUUUUAGGCAGAUAGACAAGACACUAAAACCGUACUCUUUUAAUUUUCAUAUUUUUAAAAUAAUUAUACAUAUGAUAAAACAUUUUGGUUUGUUUCAUUCCAAGCUUUGAGAUCCAUCGUCUUCCCACCGUCUUCCCAUUGUCGAACCCUCAACUCUUCCCACCGUCUUCCCAUUGUCGAACCCUCAACUCUUCCCACCGUCUUCUUCGUCUCCUUGUGCGGUUCAUUUUCACCAUUCAUCAAAAUCAUCUCUUCCAUUCCUCUUUUAUUCUGCAAAAUCAACAUUGAAUCGCGACUUGUCUUCAAUAAUUUGCUUGCCUGCACCCACAAACACCAUGCUUAGAAAAAGAAUGCUAGCAACUUGGACACCAGACCAAGAGUUCAACCAAGUGAGGCAGAGAGGUCAGGUGCAGACAUGAAGAGGAAGCUUAAAUGUUCAAGUUCCUGUUGUUGGCGGAGCUUUCAGUUAUUUAAGAUUAACCUUUGGAGAAUUUAUGGGAUAUUUUUCUGGGGCAAAUAUACUAAUGGAGUAUGUGUUCUCAAAUGAUGCUGUAGCUAGGAGCUUUACAGAAUAUUGAGUUUUGCUUUUGGAGAAAAUACUCCAAAUGUAUGGAGAGUUGAAGUCCAUGGAUUGCCAAAUCAACAACUUCAAGCUUUUAGAACUUUUAGAUAAUUAAUUGGAUAUAUGUUAGUUAUUAGUUUGAAAGAUAAUUGUAUGUUGUAAUUGAUUUUGUGUAUAUAUAUAAGAAGGUUUAUUAAUAAAUGGACUACAAUAUAAAUAUCAAUUUUUU